AUUGAACGCUAGCGGCAUGCCUAACACAUGCAAGUCGAACGGCAGCACGAGGAGCUUGCUCCUUGGUGGCGAGUGGCGGACGGUUGAGUAACGCGUAGGAAUCUGCCUCGUAGUGGGGGACAACCCGGGGAAACUCGGGCUAAUACCGCAUAAUCUCUUCGGAGCAAAGUUGGGGACCUUCGGGCCUAACACUAUGAGAUGAGCCUGCGUUGGAUUAGCUAGCUGGUGGGGUAAAGGCCUACCAAGGCGACGAUCCAUAGCUGGUCUGAGAGGACGACCAGCCACACUGGGACUGAGACACGGCCCAGACUCCUACGGGAGGCAGCAGUGGGGAAUAUUGGACAAUGGGCGAAAGCCUGAUCCAGCAAUGCCGCGUGUGUGAAGAAGGCCUUCGGGUUGUAAAGCACUUUUAGUGGGGAAGAAAAAGACAAGGAUAAUACCCUUGGAAAUUGACGUUACCCACAGAAAAAGUACUGGCUAACUCUGUGCCAGCAGCCGCCGUAA
This 504-nucleotide ribosomal RNA is filed under the name uncultured bacterium. RNAcentral's name for it is "partial 16S ribosomal RNA". It matches the Rfam family "Bacterial small subunit ribosomal RNA", at positions 30 to 523 of the family's 1533-position model. The record is from RNAcentral.